UUCCCGAGCCUCAGUUUCCUUAGCACAAACAGGCUGGCAGUUUCCUGGGGCUUGUCAGAUGCCUGAUGGAUCAGAAAGCUUCCUGCAGCCCUGAAAGGGAGUCCAGAGCAGAGGCGGGCCUGCAGUCCACUUUUACAGAACAGCCGUCUACCUGUCUUCCUGGCUUGCUCUCCCCAGGAAUGGUCUGGGGCAACCCCAGCAACACGCCCACCUGUGACCAGGAUGACCAGGAAUCCAGUUCAGGCUUGGCUUCCAUGGCAAUCAAGGCCCACCAGGCCUCAGCAACCUUCCCUACCCCCCAUUCCUUUUUGCUUGCCCCCCUCCACACCAGGCAUGUUCCCUGCCAUGCCAUGCUGUUCUCCUCACCUUGGCUGCCCUCCCAACUCCUCCCUGCCUCUAGAGAUGCUCUGCCAUUCAAGACUUGACUCAGGCUCCAGGUCCUCCCUGGGCCUUCUAGAGCCCCUGGUUCUCACUCCUCGGAACACUUCCAGCCUGGCUGAUAGCCCAUUGCAUCCUAGCCUGGGGUACAAGUGGCCAGCACAGGUGUGAGGGUCAACUUCCAACAAGCAUGGGUAGGUCCCUCUGCAGACCUUGGGCUGCGAGAGGCAGGGCCUUGCCCACUGCAGUGGCCCUGCACAGGGCUGGGCACAAAGCAGGUAGGUGUCCACCAAUCCAGUAUCCAAAACCCUGCUCGGUUCACCCCCACCUCUGUUGAAGGAAAGCAACACUGUGAUGGAGAGGAGCAGCUGUGGAUUCAAAUCCUGACUUGGCCACUUUCUAGUUGUGCGACUUGGUGCAUCUGCCCUCAUCUCCUCAGAGACACAAAUGGCAACACCUCCCUUCUUGGGUUACUGUGAGGAUUAAAUAACAAAACCUCCAAGAAGCAGA
Molecule: long non-coding RNA, 888 nt
Organism: Chlorocebus sabaeus (green monkey)
Lineage: Eukaryota; Metazoa; Chordata; Mammalia; Primates; Cercopithecidae
Source: RefSeq, a predicted model, not a curated record